This 521-nucleotide long non-coding RNA is filed under the name Theobroma cacao (cacao). RNAcentral's name for it is "long non-coding RNA (TCAC_LNC005241)". Lineage: Eukaryota; Viridiplantae; Streptophyta; Magnoliopsida; Malvales; Malvaceae. The record is from RNAcentral.
GACAUGAAUGCUAUUAAAGUUUUCACUCUCCAAAACCUUUGUUGAGCAUGGACUCUUUUCAAUAAGUGAUUUUUCUCAUGUGGGGUUGCAUGAAGGGUUUAAUAAGAACUCAAAUAAAUUGCAUUGUUUUGAAAAAUGAAUGCAUGAGGAUUUCGUUAAACAUUCCUUAUGGUAUGCUUGUUCCCUUCUUGUUCACUCACUGGGUUUAUACUCACCGUUUUCAACUUCAUGUUUUCAGAUCAAGAGGUAGCCGGUAACUAGGACGAGGUGUCCUCGUAGACUUGUAUCCAUCUUUUGGUAGGUGUCUCGACAUUCAGUAGCUGUACAUUCAUCCGAGUCUCUCUGCUGGAAGUCGAGUAUUCUUUUGUUGUGUAUAGACAAACCUAAUGUAAAUUAUUAAGAUACAUGUUGUAGACAAUGUAUAUACACUUGUUUGGUAUGCCAGUAUGAGGUGGCAAUGUUUAAUAUUAUUUUGAUCCUAAGUUAUGAAAUGUGACUUAGCAGUUUAUGAUGGAAUGGUG